Molecule: ribosomal RNA, 253 nt
Filed under: uncultured bacterium
Lineage: Bacteria
Description: partial 16S ribosomal RNA
Rfam family: Bacterial small subunit ribosomal RNA
Source: RNAcentral
UACGAGGGGUGCGAGCGUUGCUCGGAAUUAUUGGGCGUAAAGGGUAGGUAGGUGGUUUCGUUUGUCUGGGGUGAAAGCCUUGAGCUUAACUCAAGAAGUGCCUCGGAAACGGCGAAACUCGAGUACUGGAGAGGGUCGUGGAAUUCCCGGUGUAGCGGUGAAAUGCGUAGAGAUCGGGAGGAACACCAGAGGCGAAGGCGGCGACCUGGACAGUUACUGACACUCAACUACGAAAGCGUGGGGAGCAAACAGG